AUUAUACUCCAUAGAUUAGAGACACUGGAAUGUUCUUUAGUCGAAAGUUUGGCGCCUUAGGAUGGAUCUGCGGUCGAUUAGGUUGUUGUUGGGGUAACGGCCCAACAAGCCUGUAAUCGAUACGGGUUGUGGGAGCAAGAGCCCGGAGAUGGAAUCUGAGACACGAUUCCAGGCCCUACGGGGCGCAGCAGGCGCGAAAACUUUACAAUGCAGGAAACUGUGAUAAGGGAACUCCGAGUGCCCGUAUACGCGGGCUGUCCAGGUGUUUAAAAAUCAUCUGAAGAAAGGGCCGGGCAAGACCGGUGCCAGCCGCCGCGGUAAUACCGGCGGCUCGAGUGGUGGCCACUAUUAUUGGGCUUAAAGCGUCCGUAGCUGGACCGAUAAGUCUCUUGGGAAAUCCGCCGGCUCAACCGGCGGGCGUCUAAGGGAUACUGUUAGUCUAGGGACCGGGAGAGGUGAGAGGUACUCCGGGGGUAGGAGUGAAAUCCUGUAAUCCCCGGGGGACCACCGAUGGCGAAGGCAUCUCACCAGAACGGCUCCGACAGUGAGGGACGAAAGCUGGGGGAGCGAACCGGAUUAGAUACCCGGGUAGUCCCAGCCGUAAACUAUGCGCGUUAGGUGU
RNAcentral lists this ribosomal RNA (622 nucleotides) under uncultured archaeon. Its description in RNAcentral is "bacterial SSU rRNA". It matches the Rfam family "Archaeal small subunit ribosomal RNA", at positions 146 to 774 of the family's 1478-position model. The record is from RNAcentral.